RNAcentral lists this long non-coding RNA (1253 nucleotides) under Phoenix dactylifera (date palm). RNAcentral's name for it is "long non-coding RNA (PDAC_LNC014986)". The record is from RNAcentral. Lineage: Eukaryota; Viridiplantae; Streptophyta; Magnoliopsida; Arecales; Arecaceae.
CCCUAUUCCGAGUCCAUCCUAUGUCCCAAGAUAGAUCCCCUCCACAGAUAAGCUCUCAUCCCGUUCAGAAUCUUCUUCCGGAUUAAUCUCCGCCUUCAUUCCGUUCGCAAGAUACAGCUUCCAGAUAAGCUUCAAAUCCCACCCUCUUCCCGAUUGCCUCCCACAAUUCUCUACUCCGGAUUAACUCCAUCAUCCACGGGCAGAACAGAGUUAUCCUCUCAUCUUCUCAAAACAACAUCCCAUCUCCUCCCACGACCGGUUAUUCAGCGAUUCAUCUUCAUCCCGUGAGCCAUAUCCUCCCUCCGGAUCACAUAUCCCAGCUGCCAUCCGAAUCCCCUGUUUCUCCGUGACCUCCUUCACGUCCUUCCCAAGCUCAUCCUCCCAAGGAAUAGAGCCGACAUCCCAUUCGGAUUCAUCCCAGCAUCUUCCAUAUUAGCUCUCCAGCUUCCUCGGCUUCAUCCUUCCAAGCUUCACGGCAUCCAAGCUUUUCCUCCCAACUUAUGGAUCAACUCCAUCCUUCCGCAUCCAAAGAUCCUCUGUUCUCAGCCGUAUCCACUAUUUUCAAGCCUCCCGCAUCUCCAUCUCAGCCGUAAGCUCAAUCUGACGUCCACGUCCUCGCCAUCCCCUGCAGCCAAGGAUCAAGCCGACUUUAGCCAACGAAUUUCAGCUCUCAGUUCCUUCCGCGUCCGGUUACUCUGCGAUCAUCCAGAUCCCAGCUUAUCUUCCCAAUGGCGGAUCAGAUCAAUCCUCGAUGACCUUAUCCUCCCACUCAUGUGAAGAAACAGAGGAGGAGGGAGGGGGAGCUUGCAGCUUAUCAAAGGGGAGACGUCUCUUCUUCGGAAUCAGCUCUUCUCAGAUAGGCCAAAUCCCACAGAGUUCAGGAGGGAGAGAAGUUUGGAUAUUUCGAGAAUAACUUCUCAUAAGAAAAAAAAUCAAUGAAGUGCUGAGAGGGCGUUUUCCAUGGAAGUCAUAGAAGGAAGGAGGGAGGAAGGGAAGAAGCCGAUCGUGAUGAAAUUUGAAGCACUCUCCACUGCUGCUAUCACUCACGACACCAUGGAAGCUGAGCUCUGCACUAGGGCCGGAUGCAGCCCUAACAAAGAGACAAGAAUUUUGUAUUUUUGAUUUCUAUUUUUGGAGUUGUAUAAACUUAUUGUUUUUAAUAAAUAUCUCUUUUUAUCUCAUGUUUAAUUUCUGUGAUUUUAAAUGAAAAGUUUAUGCAACUGUUUUUCAUGAUCACUAAGUUAAUAUAAGAU